RNAcentral lists this ribosomal RNA (460 nucleotides) under uncultured bacterium. RNAcentral describes it as "partial 16S ribosomal RNA". It matches the Rfam family "Bacterial small subunit ribosomal RNA", at positions 338 to 795 of the family's 1533-position model. The record is from RNAcentral.
CCUACGGGGGGCAGCAGUGAGGAAUAUUGGUCAAUGGACGAGAGUCUGAACCAGCCAAGUAGCGUGAAGGAUGACUGCCCUAUGGGUUGUAAACUUCUUUUAUAUGGGAAUAAAAUGUUCCACGUGUGGGAUUUUGUAUGUACCAUAUGAAUAAGGAUCGGCUAACUCCGUGCCAGCAGCCGCGGUAAUACGGAGGAUCCGAGCGUUAUCCGGAUUUAUUGGGUUUAAAGGGAGCGUAGGUGGAUUGUUAAGUCAGUUGUGAAAGUUUGCGGCUCAACCGUAAAAUUGCAGUUGAAACUGGCAGUCUUGAGUACAGUAGAGGUGGGCGGAAUUCGUGGUGUAGCGGUGAAAUGCUUAGAUAUCACGAAGAACUCCGAUCGCGAAGGCAUUGUACCGGAGCAAGACUGACGCUGAGGCUCGAAAGUGCGGGUAUCAAACAGGAUUAGAUACCCGGGUAGUC